RNAcentral lists this ribosomal RNA (293 nucleotides) under uncultured bacterium. Its description in RNAcentral is "partial 16S ribosomal RNA". It matches the Rfam family "Bacterial small subunit ribosomal RNA", at positions 126 to 420 of the family's 1533-position model. The record is from RNAcentral.
AAAACAAAAACUUUGGGAUAACUUCAGGAAACUGGAGCUAAUACCGGAUAGGAGCUCCUGCUGCAUUGAGUGGGUUGGAAAGUUUCGUAGUGUGGGGAUGGACUCGCGGCUUAUCAGCUUGGUGGUGGUGUAGUGGCUUCCCAAGGCUUUGACGUGUCGCCGGCCUGAGAGGCGGACGGGCCACAUUGUGACUGAGAUACGGCCCAGAUUCCUACGGGAGGCAGCAGUGGGGAAUAGUGAACAAUGGGCGGUAUUCUGAUGCAGCACCGCCGCCUGCGGGAUGAAGACUCGUU